RNAcentral lists this ribosomal RNA (201 nucleotides) under uncultured bacterium. RNAcentral describes it as "partial 16S ribosomal RNA". It matches the Rfam family "Bacterial small subunit ribosomal RNA", at positions 1300 to 1500 of the family's 1533-position model. The record is from RNAcentral.
GCAGGCUGCAACUCGCCUGCAUGAAGCUGGAAUUGCUAGUAAUCGCGGAUCAGCAUGCCGCGGUGAAUACGUUCCCGGGCCUUGUACACACCGCCCGUCACACCAUGAGAGUCGGGAACACCCGAAGUCCGUAGUCUAACCGCAAGGAGGGCGCGGCCGAAGGUGGGUCCGGUAAUUGGGGUGAAGUCGUAACAAGGUACC